UUUCAACAGUCACUUUAACUAAAAAGUCUUUGCUAUUUGAGAUUUUAUCUUCUUGUCUGUUAAAAAACUGGCACCUUAUUUUGCAUGAAUUGAUUUCUAAUCGCUCAAAUCCAGUGUGUGCAGUGACAAGCUGGUGUGGCUGAAACGGCAGUUGCUCAAGAGCAUCAGAACAGCCUUCACCGUGUGGGUUUACAUGGACAGCACUGUCAGCAGACAGUGAGACGGGCGCUUGUCCACUCGUCUGACACCGUGGGGCCAUAGGAGGCAGCGACUGAGAAGGUCAGUCCCAUUAAAAAUGCCCUUUGGCUCAUCUGGAAGCUGUAUCUCUGGUCAUGCACCAUGCCAGCCACGCCAGCAUUAUCAUGGCACAUGCUUUUAAAUCGUGCAGACGUUGUUCUAGAGUGAGUGUGAACAGCUUUCACACUGGGGCACUGUGCCAGUUCCCAUGCUGGCUUCCCCACAUGCACACAGGUGGCUGGCACGCAGCUCUGCACCUCUUACUGUUGGGAGCUCAGAAGCCUCUCUCUGUGGUGGUUUUUCAUCUCGGGAUAAUUGAACCCAGCUGGGAAAUACCAGGACCAGAGAAUCUCUGCUGCAUAAUAUCACCACCCCGUGGCAACUCACAAAGCAAGAUUUUCACCGAGAAUCGCACAUAGAAAGAAUUUCACAUCUGCUUCUGUAAAGAUUUUCACCGAGAAUCACACAUAGAAAGAAUUGCACAUCUGCUUCUGGAGCACAUUUCCCUCUAAAGAGAGGGGCAGAGCGACUUCACCGUCUGUCCUCAUCUGGUGGUGGAAACCACUUCUAGGUUUGAAGGUGAGUUAUUCAUGCUGGAAUUUCGUGAUCUCUGUGGGGACUGUGGCUUAUUUCACAUUGGAGCUUGAAUAUUUUUCAGGGUUUGCUUUGGCGUGAUUAUACAUAUAGAGAUAUGUCUAGAA
RNAcentral lists this long non-coding RNA (938 nucleotides) under Pan troglodytes (chimpanzee). RNAcentral's name for it is "lincRNA". The record is from RNAcentral. Lineage: Eukaryota; Metazoa; Chordata; Mammalia; Primates; Hominidae.